UUCGGGAGGGUUUAAUACCGUGCGCGCGCCCGCCGCAGCGGAAGCAGCCCUCGGGCCACAGAGACGAAAGAAGACCCGAGGCCAAUGAGCACCGUGGGCGGAGGAGCCGCAGCGCCCGCGUGUGGGGCGCGGGAAGGGCCACAAGUCUGGAACCCAGGAGGGCAGAAGAAACUAGGAGGAAAAGUACGGCCAGUGCGCAGAAUAGGGCAGAGCCCUAGCCUGCCAGUGGAGAAGCGUGGGGUCCAGUGCCUGCAAGAUUUCUGGGAGGAGUGCUUGCUGAACUGAACUGAACUUCAAAAACUGGUGAGGCCUUUAAUAAGAAUGAGGGGGAACUAGGCUGACAGGGGUCCUUUAAUGAGCUAGCACAAGGAAAAAAUGAGGAGUUUCCUUUUAGAAAUAUUUAGUAGGCCCUUGGUGGAACACAGAAGUAGAACUCUCCAACAAAUAGCUGGAAAUAUGGGACUGAAGUUUAGAACAGAUGUCAGAUCUGGAGAUGAAGACAAGUGACACAAGAAAUCCCAUUCUUGAAUUUUUUCCUCCAGCUCUAUUUCAGAAUGGCAUUUUUUAUAAGAAAUCUAACUGAUUAAGAAUUGGAAAUUGAGGCAGCUAGGUGGUGCAGUGGAUGGAGCACCUGCCCUGGAGUCAGGAGAACCUGAG
Long non-coding RNA from Phascolarctos cinereus (koala), 657 nucleotides. RefSeq lists it as uncharacterized. Lineage: Eukaryota; Metazoa; Chordata; Mammalia; Diprotodontia; Phascolarctidae. The record is from RefSeq and is a predicted model, not a curated record.